AGAUCUUGCAUUGGAUUAGAUAGUCUAAACUAUCAUGUUUCUGUUACAUAUUAUAUAUUUUUAUUAUAAGGGUAAUAAACAUGGAUCCAGUUUGAGUAGGUUUGUUUUUAUCUUUUUUUAGAGUUAGGUUUGUUUUUAUCUGAGUAACUGAGGGGCCAUAUGCAGCAAACAAACUACCAUAUGUUGCCAUGGUUAAGUGGUAUAUGUUCAAGCAAAAAUGCAUACACUUGCUAUGAAAUGAUCAGGAUCUUCACCUUAUUUUCAUGUUCUCGAUAAAGUGUUUGAUAUUUCUUAGUGGAUAAAUUAAGCAAAAAUGCUGAGACAAGGCCAAGUUUGUGUACAAGUAGCGUUCUCUCUGUUUCAGACUUCCAACACAAGCGUUAUCAUCCCAGCUCACUGAUUUCUUUUGAUUUUCAGACGAGAAACAGCCCAACUCUGAGCUUAUCGAUCUGAAAUGCACUUUUCAAUCAAUGCCUUAGCGAGAGAAUGGAGUAGACGCCUCUUCUUCUGGUUUGUGUCAAACUUACUAGUUGUGGUUUAACGUAACAAAUAUCCAGCCAUUAGCAAAGGUAGGUAUAAUGUUAAAGUGAUCUAUGUGAAAAAUGGCCCAAGCCCAAACAAAUUAGCCCAAUAGCAUUAUGUACAUGGUCACCCCAGUCCUAGUACCUCACGGAAUAGACUUGACCGAGCUUGAUCUAUCAAUAUGCAUUGACGGCUCUAGCAAAUACCUUUUAUAUCCCGCCCAUGGUGUUCCAGUCGAUCGAUUACUGCCGCCGCACUAGGGCAUAUAGAUGCGCAGGUCAGAAUCGCUCGGACAUCUAUGCUUCGUCAAGCAUCGUGACCAGCAGUGUUCAUUGGAAGCAUCCCCACUACAUUUAGCAAAAUAAGUAGCCUCAGAAUUCACAGCCUUUCUCAUAAUAACAUUACUGCACAAUUCCAGUGUCUUUUGGCAACCUAUAAUAUCUGAAAUUUUCAUUUAACCAUCUUUGACGGAGAGGUCCCAACGAAAGAAAACUAUGCCUUCGCCAUCAUUUCGUAAAAAAUAUUCGAAAGUUUCUAAUUUCUAAGGGCUCUGUUUAUGUUCUUUGUGGUGUCCUCCAUGCUAAAGUGUAAGUGGAUUAAACAGACGUAGAAACCGCAAUGAUCCGCUGAAGGACGAAAGGAGACAACUAAUUCUCUUUAUGGUUAUUGUGAAGUAUUUGAGACCUAAUUAUGUUCUCAUGGAAAAUGUUGGUGACCUUCCGAAAUUUUUUGGUGGACUUUUUUGGAAGCUAUGCGUUGAGCCUCUUUGUGGCCAUGAGUUACCAAACAAGGCUUGUGCCUAUGGUUGAAUGAUCUUAUGGGCUACCGUAAUUUAGGAUUCUUGCAUUUUUUUGCCAUGAAAUGCACAAAUCCUAAAUUGUGGUAGCCCAUAACUCCUCCAACCAUAAGCAAGUCCUGUUUGUUAACUCAUGGCCACAAGAUGACUUAAUGCAUAGCUCCUAGAAAUCCACAACAAAUUUCAAAAGGUCAACAACAUUCUCCAUAAGAACAUAUUUGGGUCUCAAAUAGUUCACAAUGUCCAUGAAGACAAUUAGUUGUCCAUUUCUUUUGUCUUUUGGUGGAUCAUUGCGGUUUCUGUGUCUGUUUAGUCCACUUGUGCCUUGGCAUGGAGGUCCCCCACAAAUAACAUUCACAAAACCCUGAGAAAUUAGAAAAACAUAAAUAGCUGCCAGCCUGCCACAUCAAAUGAACAAAAAAUAAACAUAGGGGUUCGGUACCGUCAUUAAGGAAAAGUCUUCAAAAUGGAAAUGAUGUUGCAAGUCUUCAACCUAGAGAUAAGGUGAAAAACUGGUUAUUGCAGAAUGUCAUGCCUUAAGAAAUGUAUGGCAUCGAAAUCUACUCCCCAUACUAACAGCAUGCUCAAGCAUCCAUUCUAAUGGGAAUGAUCUCAAAGCUCUAGUGUAUGAGUUCAUGCCCCGAGGAGACUCACAUAGAUUACUGAAUUCAGCUCAAGACCAUGAGGGCUCUUUAGACUUCAUACACAUUACAGUGGCUCAAAGGCUAAGCAUUGUUUUGGAUGUAGCAGAUGCGUAUCUACAACAUAACAACCAAGGAACUAUUGUUCAUUGUCAUAUGAAGCCUAGCAAUAUUCUUUUGGAUGAUACUAUGACAACUCAUGUUGGAGAUUUUGGUCUUGCAAGGUUUGUAGUUGAUCCAGCAGCAUCAUCACCAGAUGACUCACACUCGACGUCUUUGAUUGCAAUAAAUGGAACUAUUGGAUAUGCUGCUCCAGAAUGUGCAACACAUGGUCAUGUUUUGACUGCUAGCGAUGUCUAUAGCUUUUGGAAUUGUUGUACUUGAAAUGUUCUUACGGAAGAGGCCUACAGAUGCUUCGUUGUCUAUGAAGAAUGGGUAUGGUAUACACUCUGCUAACCAGUGUGCUCCUAAGUAAUACGUGUUCUUCAGAGAAAGGGACUUUUCGCACAGACAGAUCAAAGGAACAUUAACCAGUGAGGCUGAAGGCACAUGCUCUCAUCUCUGGAGAUGCUUCUCAAAAUUAUCCAAAAAUUGUGGCCUCCUCCUUACGAUCAUCAGGUGUAACAGCCCAAGGUCAGCCUGUGUGUUCGGUGCCGGUGGCUUGGAAGAUGCA
This is a long non-coding RNA of Lolium rigidum, 2632 nucleotides long. RefSeq lists it as uncharacterized. The transcript is spliced from 5 exons. The record is from RefSeq and is a predicted model, not a curated record. Lineage: Eukaryota; Viridiplantae; Streptophyta; Magnoliopsida; Poales; Poaceae.